Molecule: ribosomal RNA, 253 nt
Filed under: uncultured bacterium
Lineage: Bacteria
Description: partial 16S ribosomal RNA
Rfam family: Bacterial small subunit ribosomal RNA
Source: RNAcentral
UACAGAGGGUGCGAGCGUUAAUCGGAAUUACUGGGCGUAAAGCGCGCGUAGGCGGCUUUGCAAGUCGAGUGUGAAAUCCCCAGGCUUAACCUGGGAACUGCAUUCGAGACUGCAUAGCUAGAGUAUGGGAGAGGGAAGUGGAAUUUCAGGUGUAGCGGUGAAAUGCGUAGAUAUCUGAAGGAACAUCAGUGGCGAAAGCGACUUCCUGGACCAAUACUGACGCUCAUGUGCGAAAGCGUGGGGAGUAAACAGG